Molecule: small nuclear RNA, 156 nt
Organism: Nycticebus coucang (slow loris)
Lineage: Eukaryota; Metazoa; Chordata; Mammalia; Primates; Lorisidae
Product: U1 spliceosomal RNA
Exons: 1
Source: RefSeq, a predicted model, not a curated record
AUGCUUAUCCGGCAGGGGGUACCAGGAUCACGAAGCUGGUUUUCCCAGGGCCGGGCUCAUCCUUCCCUCUCCGGAUGUGCUGACCCCUGCGAUUUCCCCAAAUGUGGGACAUUCGACUGCAUAAUUUAUGGUAGUGGGGGACUACAUUAGCCUUAA